RNAcentral lists this small RNA (648 nucleotides) under Pongo abelii (Sumatran orangutan). RNAcentral's name for it is "retained intron". The record is from RNAcentral. Lineage: Eukaryota; Metazoa; Chordata; Mammalia; Primates; Hominidae.
GGAAAGGACUGCAGCCGGGGAGAGCAGCACGCGCCAUCUCCAUCGGCACCCUCUCCCGCCCCACUUCCAUCGCUAGAAAACUAAGGAUUCGGUGUCGGGACCACUCCUGCCCUGCCCUGCCCUGCCCUGUGACUCCGUCAUACUCUCCAAAGGCCAGACCCUCCUAGACCAGCUGGAACCACCAUCAAGAUGUCCCCAGCCAUGUCAGACUCUGGGGCCCCAAGCGGAGGGCAACCAGAUGUCUUCAGCUCCAAGUCUGGCCUCUCCUCCCAGCAAGCAGCCACCUCUGAUGGCCAACAGGUGCUGCUGUGUGCCCAGAUCAAGAAUCCACCUCUGUGGAAUUCAAAACCGCUGAGGGUUCUGGGGCAGCAGGGAGGAGAGAGGUGGAGACGCAACAUGGGUUUUCUGUGUUCAGACUGCAGAGACCUUGGAAAGGAUCAACCAUAUACAAUGUCCAUUUCCUGCCCUCUAACCUGGCAGGGGAGCAAGGCCCAGCCAAGGAGGUAACAGAUUCCUCCAACACAAACCACACCUUCUUUCCCCACCCCCACCACCUCCACACCCAGCUGCCUCUGUGGGGACUUCAUGGGGAGAGUGCACACAGUGGGGCCUCAAAGGUUAUGUAGCUUGAAUAAAUGAUCCUCCAGG